This 468-nucleotide ribosomal RNA is filed under the name uncultured bacterium. Its description in RNAcentral is "partial 16S ribosomal RNA". It matches the Rfam family "Bacterial small subunit ribosomal RNA", at positions 28 to 507 of the family's 1533-position model. The record is from RNAcentral.
GACGAACGCUGGCGGCGUGCUUAACACAUGCAAGUCGAACGGAAAGGUCCUGCUUUUGUGGGGUGCUCGAGUGGGGAAGGGGUGAGUAACACGUGAGUAAACUGCCCUUGACAUUGGGAUAAAUUCAGGAAACUGGGGAUCAUACCGGAUAGGAGCUCUAGCUGCAUGGGGGGGGUUGGAAAGAUUCGGCGGUUGGGGCUGGAAUAGCGGGUUAUCCGCCUGUUGGUGGGGUUGUGGCUUUACAGGGUUUUGAAGGGUAGCCGGCCUGAGCGGGUGACCGGCCACAUUGGGACUGAGAUACGGCCCAGACUCCUACGGUAGGCAGCGGGGGGGAAUAUUGCACAAUGGGCGGAAGCCUGAUGCAGCAACGCCGCGUGCGUGAUGACGGCCUUCUGGUGGUAAACCGCUUUCGCCUGUGACGAAGCGUGAUUGACGGUAAUGGGUAAAGAAGCACCGGCUAACUACGUG